GCUGUUAUGAUGACUCAAGUAUCUGCAGAGCAGUAGGCACAGAAAUGGACAUCAGCACAGCAAUAUGGCACAGUUAUGGGGUACAGCAAUGUGCAUCUGCAUAACAAUGGGAACAUCAAUAGGGAACCGCAAUGGGCAUCCUUAGAACUGUGUUUUUCCAUAACUCUGACAUGAAAUUAAGAUAAAUUAAGACACAGACCAGAAACAACUUUGCUGCCCUGGAUCCAGAGGUUCCAGCGCCUUCGUCCUUGGUAGCUUCCCAAUCAAGAUCGGAACCGGAGUUACCAGCGUCUUCAUCCUCGGCUCUGUCUCUCUCUCCGGUGGCUUCUACCUCGGGUUCAGAUCCUCGGAGCUCCCAGACCAUGAGUCUGCCUGAGAGACAGGCCAAUUCAACAUCACCAGCUGUCAUCAUAGGCAGCUCUACGAGGUAAUGCUCAGCAGGUCUCCUGCACUCUGAGGAGGAGAAGAACUAGGAGGAUAAAGAGGAGGAGUGAAAGGCAUUGAUCAUUGGGAGGUUGCAGACUCCAGCCAGCAGCUACCCUUUUCCCAGCCGGCAAGCCCCCGCCCC
Molecule: long non-coding RNA, 568 nt
Filed under: Salmo salar (Atlantic salmon)
Lineage: Eukaryota; Metazoa; Chordata; Actinopteri; Salmoniformes; Salmonidae
Description: lncRNA (ENSSSAG00000101783.1, ENSSSAG00075016283.1)
Source: RNAcentral